GUGCCAGCAGCCGCGGUAAUACGUAGGGGGCAAGCGUUGUCCGGAAUUAUUGGGCGUAAAGCGCGCGCAGGCGGCAUUGUAAGUCUUGUGUUUAAACGCGGGGCUCAACCCCGUGUCGCAUGGGAAACUGCAAGGCUUGAGUGCAGAAGAGGAAAGUGGAAUUCCACGUGUAGCGGUGAAAUGCGUAGAGAUGUGGAGGAACACCAGUGGCGAAGGCGACUUUCUGGGCUGUAACUGACGCUGAGGCGCGAAAGCGUGGGGAGCAAACAGGAUUAGAUACCCUGGUAGUCC
Molecule: ribosomal RNA, 291 nt
Filed under: uncultured microorganism
Description: partial 16S ribosomal RNA
Rfam family: Bacterial small subunit ribosomal RNA
Source: RNAcentral